RNAcentral lists this transfer RNA (64 nucleotides) under Schyzocotyle acheilognathi. Its description in RNAcentral is "tRNA-Tyr". The record is from RNAcentral. Lineage: Eukaryota; Metazoa; Platyhelminthes; Cestoda; Bothriocephalidea; Bothriocephalidae.
UCUGAUUUAACAUAUAACUAAUGUACUGGAUUGUAAAUCCAUAUAAAGCAACUGCUAAUCAGGA